RNAcentral lists this ribosomal RNA (375 nucleotides) under uncultured soil bacterium. RNAcentral's name for it is "bacterial SSU rRNA". It matches the Rfam family "Bacterial small subunit ribosomal RNA", at positions 26 to 403 of the family's 1533-position model. The record is from RNAcentral.
AGGACAAACGCUGGCGGGGUGCGUGAGACAUGCAAGUCGAACGAGGUGCCAUCGGGCUUGCUCGAUGGCUACCGAGUGGCGGACGGCUGAGUAACGCGUAGGUGACCUACCCGGAAGUGGGGAAUAACUGCCCGAAAGGGUGGCUAAUACCGCAUACGGUCGACGAUUCGGUUCGUCGUCCAAAGGAGUAAUCCGCUUCCGGCGGGGCCUGCGUCCGAUUAGCUAGUUGGUGGGGUAACGGCUCACCAAGGCGACGAUCGGUAGCUGGUCUGAGAGGAUGAUCAGCCAGACUGGGACUGAGAACGGCCCUGACUCCUACGGGAGCAGCAGUCGGAAUUUGCCAAUGACGAAAGUCUGAGGCAGCAACUCCGCGUG